This 492-nucleotide ribosomal RNA is filed under the name uncultured bacterium. RNAcentral describes it as "partial 16S ribosomal RNA". It matches the Rfam family "Bacterial small subunit ribosomal RNA", at positions 29 to 507 of the family's 1533-position model. The record is from RNAcentral.
AGUGAACGCUGGCGGUAGGCCUAACACAUGCAAGUCGAACGGCAGCACAGUAAGAGCUUGCUCUUACGGGUGGCGAGUGGCGGACGGGUGAGGAAUACAUCGGAAUCUACUUUUUCGUGGGGGAUAACGUAGGGAAACUUACGCUAAUACCGCAUACGACCUACGGGUGAAAGCAGGGGAUCUUCGGACCUUGCGCGAUUGAAUGAGCCGAUGUCGGAUUAGCUAGUUGGCAGGGUAAAGGCCCACCAAGGCGACGAUCCGUAGCUGGUCUGAGAGGAUGAUCAGCCACACUGGAACUGAGACACGGUCCAGACUCCUACGGGAGGCAGCAGUGGGGAAUAUUGGACGAUGGGCGCAAGCCUGAUCCAGCCAUACCGCGUGGGUGAAGAAGGCCUUCGGGUUGUAAAGCCCUUUUGUUGGGAAAGAAAAGCAGCAGGUUAAUACCCCGCUGUUCUGACGGUACCCAAAGAAUAAGCACCGGCUAACUUCGUG